AUUUAAAUAAUUUAAUUUAAAAUAUUGAUUUGUGGUAUCAAAAAUAUGAAUAAAUUCAUUUUAAAUU
This 67-nucleotide transfer RNA is filed under the name Lacanobia aliena. RNAcentral's name for it is "tRNA-His". Lineage: Eukaryota; Metazoa; Arthropoda; Insecta; Lepidoptera; Noctuidae. The record is from RNAcentral. RNAcentral also lists the same sequence under 1 other name.